Molecule: ribosomal RNA, 877 nt
Filed under: uncultured bacterium
Lineage: Bacteria
Description: bacterial SSU rRNA
Rfam family: Bacterial small subunit ribosomal RNA
Source: RNAcentral
UAGAGUUUGAUCCUGGCUCAGGAUGAACGCUGGCGGCGUGCCUAAUACAUGCAAGUCGAACGCACAGCGAAAGGUGCUUGCACCUUUCAAGUGAGUGGCGAACGGGUGAGUAACACGUGGAUAACCUACCUCAAGGUUGGGGAUAACAUUUGGAAACAGAUGCUAAUACCGAAUAAAACUUAGUAUCGCAUGAUACCAGGUUAAAAGGCGCUACGGCGUCACCUAGAGAUGGAUCCGCGGUGCAUUAGUUAGUUGGUGGGGUAAAGGCUUACCAAGACAAUGAUGCAUAGCCGAGUUGAGAGACUGAUCGGCCACAUUGGGACUGAGACACGGCCCAAACUCCUACGGGAGGCUGCAGUAGGGAAUCUUCCACAAUGGGCGAAAGCCUGAUGGAGCAACGCCGCGUGUGUGAUGAAGGCUUUCGGGUCGUAAAGCACUGUUGUAUGGGAAGAACAGCUAGAGUAGGGAAUGACUUUAGUUUGACGGUACCAUACCAGAAAGGGACGGCUAAAUACGUGCCAGCAGCCGCGGUAAUACGUAUGUCCCGAGCGUUAUCCGGAUUUAUUGGGCGUAAAGCGAGCGCAGACGGUUAAUUAAGUCUGAUGUGAAAGCCCGGAGCUCAACUCCGGAAAGGCAUUGGAAACUGGUUAACUUGAGUGCAGUAGAGGUAAGUGGAACUCCAUGUGUAGCGGUGGAAUGCGUAGAUAUAUGGAAGAACACCAGCGGCGAAGGCGGCUUACUGGACUGUAACUGACGUUGAGGCUCGAAAGUGUGGGUAGCAAACAGGAUUAGAUACCCUGGUAGUCCACACCGUAAACGAUGAACACUAGGUGUUAGGAGGUUUCCGCCUCUUAGUGCCGAAGCUAACGCAUUAAGU